AAUAUAGCCGGGGAUGGCAGCUUCAACGACAAUGGGAAUGGCUUCGAGUCCCCAGCCAUCUAUACUCAGGGCCCUGGACAAUCUGGGAGAGACUGAGGAACCUCUGGGUGCCUCAGGCGUGAGUAUUUCCACUCUCAAGCAGCCCUUCUCCCCUUCCCACCCCACACAGGGCUCCUGGGGUGCCCCCUCCAUGUAUCACUCAGGACCUCAGGACAAGGGGGCACCAGGAGCCCCCAGGCAGCCCCACUAUAACAGCACUUUCAUUGCAGAACCAUGAGAGCUUCGACUGGAACAGGGUCGGCCACAACAGCUUCAAUGACAACGGG
Molecule: long non-coding RNA, 326 nt
Filed under: Apteryx owenii (little spotted kiwi)
Lineage: Eukaryota; Metazoa; Chordata; Aves; Apterygiformes; Apterygidae
Description: lncRNA (ENSAOWG00000002555.1)
Source: RNAcentral